Molecule: ribosomal RNA, 974 nt
Filed under: Giardia muris
Lineage: Eukaryota; Fornicata; Diplomonadida; Hexamitidae
Description: Eukaryotic small subunit ribosomal RNA
Rfam family: Eukaryotic small subunit ribosomal RNA
Source: Rfam by way of RNAcentral
CAUCCGGUUGAUCCUGCCGGAGUACUACGCUACCCCCAAGGACAAAAGCCAUGCAAGCGGACACGAGGUAUGAAGUGGCGGACGGCUCGGUACAACGGUACGAGUCUGACCGGGGGUGAAGGCUAGACGGAUACCGCUGGCAACCCAGCGCCAAGACGAGUGCUCAAGAGCGGGGAAGGAAAGCACGCGAUGGAGCGAAUGCCCGGAUGAGGUUCCGAGGUAUUACCUAGUCGGUAGAGUAGUGGUCUACGGAGGGGAUGAUGCCUGGCGGAGGAUCAGGGUUUGACUCCGGAGAACGGGCCUGAGAGACGGCCCGUACAUCCAAGGACGGCAGCAGGCGCGGAACUUGCCCAAUGCGUGAAGGCGUGAGGCAGCAACGGGGGAUCCCAUGAAAUGGGAAGACUGGGGGGUAGAUGACCCCAGCACAAGUCGAGGGAAAGGUCUGGUGCCAGCAGCCGCGGUAAUUCCAGCUCGGCAGGCGUCGUACGGCGCUGUUGCAGUUAAAACGUCCGGAGUCGAGACGUCCAGCCGGGAGGAAAGAGGAGCGCUUAAGGCGGGAGUGAGUACGAGAAAGCCCGGGACGGACAUGAAGGUGAAUGGGUAAGGGCAUGUGUAUUGGUGGGGGACGGGUGAAAUAGGAUGAUCCGACCAAGACAGACAAAGGCGUAGGCCUUGCCAAGACCAUAUCAGUCGAACCAGGACGAAGCCCGGGGGCGAGAAGGCGAUUAGACACCACCGUAUUCCCGGGCGUAAACGAUGCCACCGAGAGACUGGCCAGGUCGUCAGGAUCGAAGGGAAACCGAUCAGGGUACGGGCUCUGGGGGAGUAUGGCCGCAAGGCUGGAACUUGAAGGCAUUGACGGAGGGGUACCACCAGACGUGGAGUCUGCGGCUCAAUUUGACUCAACGCGAACACCUUACCAGGCCCAGACGUACGGAGGAUCGACGGUUGAGAGGACCUUCGUGAUCGUACGA